ACCUACUGGGCAGAGAUGAGUCUUUCUAGCAUCUCGAAGAGUCGGUCGACAUCCUCUCUAAGCAACCCAUCCCGGGUUGCUCUGUUCAGUGGGGCCCUUCCUAUCAUCAUGUCUUUGUACCUGUAUUUCACAAUGAAGGGUUGAAUGUCGGGUUGUAUCAAAUGAUUCUAAUCUUUUGUACAAGGAAUAGUUUCGAGAAACGCGACUCGAAUACUAACAUUAAAGGCCCAAAACGCGAAGGAAAUGAAUAUAUAUUGUAUUGGUGGAAGCGAUUAAAAGUUUAAGAU
This 287-nucleotide long non-coding RNA is filed under the name Carica papaya (papaya). RNAcentral describes it as "long non-coding RNA (CPAP_LNC009698)". The record is from RNAcentral. Lineage: Eukaryota; Viridiplantae; Streptophyta; Magnoliopsida; Brassicales; Caricaceae.